This 464-nucleotide ribosomal RNA is filed under the name uncultured bacterium. RNAcentral describes it as "partial 16S ribosomal RNA". It matches the Rfam family "Bacterial small subunit ribosomal RNA", at positions 28 to 506 of the family's 1533-position model. The record is from RNAcentral.
GAUGAACGCUGGCGGCGUGCUUAACACAUGCAAGUCGAACGGAAAGGCUCCUGCUUGCAGGGGUACUCGAGUGGCGAACGGGUGAGUAACACGUGGGUGAUCUGCCCUGCACUUCGGGAUAAGCCUGGGAAACUGGGUCUAAUACCGGAUAGGACCACAUUUUGGAUGGUGUGGUGGAAAGUUUUUCGGUGUGGGAUGAGCUCGCGGCCUAUCAGCUUGUUGGUGGGGUAAUGGCCUACCAAGGCGUCGACGGGUAGCCGGCCUGAGAGGGUGUACGGCCACAUUGGGACUGAGAUACGGCCCAGACGCCUACGGGAGGCAGCAGUGGGGAAUAUUGCACAAUGGGCGCAAGCCUGAUGCAGCGACGCCGCGUGGGGGAUGACGGCCUUCGGGUUGUAAACUCCUUUCGCUAGGGACGAAGCGCAAGUGACGGUACCUGGAGAAGAAGCACCGGCUAACUACGU